AAUGCAAGUCGAACGGCAAAGGCCCUUCGGGGUACUCGAGUGGCGAACGGGUGAGUAACACGUGGGUGAUCUGCCCUGCACUUUGGGAUAAGCCUGGGAAACUGGGUCUAAUACCGAAUAUGACCAUGCACUUCCUGGUGUGUGGUGGAAAGCUUUUGCGGUGUGGGAUGGGCCCGCGGCCUAUCAGCUUGUUGGUGGGGUAAUGGCCUACCAAGGCGACGACGGGUAGCCGGCCUGAGAGGGUGACCGGCCACACUGGGACUGAGAUACGGCCCAGACUCCUACGGGAGGCAGCAGUGGGGAAUAUUGCACAAUGGGCGCAAG
Molecule: ribosomal RNA, 324 nt
Filed under: Mycobacterium sp. 8LII(+)_OTU49
Lineage: Bacteria; Bacillati; Actinomycetota; Actinomycetes; Mycobacteriales; Mycobacteriaceae
Description: bacterial SSU rRNA
Rfam family: Bacterial small subunit ribosomal RNA
Source: RNAcentral